AAUUAAAUAUUCAAUGGUGAGGUAAACAUGUUAAAGUCAACAACAAGAGGUAACAUUUUGGUUGUACAAUAAAAGCUGGAAAACAAAGGUUGGUAAAUUGAUUGGAUUGUUAAAGAUUUAUAAAGCAGUUGCAAGUGUAAACCCAAUUUACAAUGAAAGUUUGUCAUUUUUCACUGUUGGUUGACGGUUUGGUGUUCAUUUAUUGAUUGUGGUUUCAUGUGUUGCUGGUUUUUCAUGUAUAUAAAUGGUGCUGGUUAAACUAAACAUGAUUAACCAACAAGUAAAAUUAAUUUUGAUCAAGGCAGGGAGAAACAAGUGAGAGCAAGUGAGAGUGAGAUGGGAAAAAAAGCUGAAAGUGAAACACACAAAAUGGGAAAAAAACUGCAAGUACAAACCAGGUCAAGUAUAAAACACAAACAUACAAAUGUUAACUUUCUCAUGAUGAUUUUUACUCGCACUUUUACUUAUUCCUAUUAUCAACAUUAUUAUUAUCAUCAUUAAUAUUAACAUUAUUGUUAUUAACAAUUGUUUGCAAUUUAAUUUUUGAAACGUGCAAAAGACGUCAAGCAAGGAAACGAAACAAAAGGCUGAAAAGAUUCACAUCAUCAUCACUUUUAUUGUGCGUUUCAUCAUGUUGUUUUAACUCUUGAGCUACUAAUUGAUAUCAUCAUCAUCAAUGAUAGACAAUUGUCGACCUUGCUUAAUAAACAUUUUUUUGUCUUAA
Tetranychus urticae (two-spotted spider mite) is the source of this 724-nucleotide long non-coding RNA. RefSeq lists it as uncharacterized. NCBI's taxonomy places the organism in Eukaryota, Metazoa, Arthropoda, Arachnida, Trombidiformes, Tetranychidae. The record is from RefSeq and is a predicted model, not a curated record.